UACGUAGGGGGCUAGCGUUGUCCGGAAUUAUUGGGCGUAAAGAGCUCGUAGGCGGUGUGUCACGUCGUUCGUGAAAACCUGCAGCUUAACUGUGGGCGUGCGGUCGAUACGGGCAUCACUGGAGUUCGGCAGGGGAGACUGGAAUUCCUGGUGUAGCGGUGAAAUGCGCAGAUAUCAGGAGGAACACCGGUGGCGAAGGCGGGUUGCUGGGCUGACACUGAUGCGCGAAAGCGUGGGGAGCGAUCCGG
Molecule: ribosomal RNA, 248 nt
Filed under: uncultured bacterium
Lineage: Bacteria
Description: partial 16S ribosomal RNA
Rfam family: Bacterial small subunit ribosomal RNA
Source: RNAcentral